Molecule: ribosomal RNA, 1706 nt
Filed under: uncultured Tintinnida
Lineage: Eukaryota; Ciliophora; Spirotrichea; Tintinnida
Description: eukaryotic LSU rRNA
Rfam family: Eukaryotic large subunit ribosomal RNA (bases 312-1706)
Source: RNAcentral
ACGAUGAAGAACGCAGCGAAGUGCGAUAAGCAGUGCGAAUUGCAGAACCGUGAGUCAUCAGAUUUUUGAACGCAACUGGCACCGUAUGUCUUCGGACAUCGGUACGCUUGGUCCAGUGUCUUUUUCUUUCAUGACCUAAAUCUUUAUGCGGGAGAUGCCCUUCUACCGCUAAGCAUGAAAGCACUCUGCGAUUUGCGAGCAACUUCGGUUGCACUCAAUGCAGCAGUCACAUUGCUUACAGUGUGAACUCAUUGAGAGCAGACGCAGCGCGGCAAUAGCUGCAAGUGCUUAGUCAUUUCAACUUCGAAACCGUAUCUGGGCUCAAGUGGGACUACCCGCUGAACUUAAGCAUAUCACUAAGCGGAGGAAAAGAAACUAACUAGGAUGGCCUUAGUAAUGGCGAAUGAAGAGGCCAAAGCCCAAGAUGGUAAUCUCUGUGUUUCACACAGCGAGUUGUAAUCUUGAGAGGCAUAGCUUAACGGGUCGUGGCGCAGAAGUGCCUCUGGAACGGACCGCCAUAGAGGGUGACAGCCCCGUACGUGGUGCCGCGACUUACCUAGCUUGUCUUCGAAGAGUCGGGUUGUUUUGUAUUGCAGCCCUAAGUGGGAGAUAAACUUCUUCUAAGGCUAAAUAUAUGUAGGAAACCGAUAGCGAACAAGUACUGUGAAGGAAAGAUGAAAAGCACUUUGGAAAGAGAGUUAAAAGACCUGAAAUCGUUGAGACGGAAGGGGUAGAGAAGUAUACUUCGGCACCUAGCGGGGCUAACUUGUUAGGGGUCGUGAGGCCUGAUGGGGUAGUUUUGAUGCAGAGGCUUUGUAUUACCGCUUUCGGGCACCUUUUACAUUUGUCGGUAUCAAUUCUGCCUGAGGGUGCCUUGUGCGAUCAGGUCAAAAUGGUCUUUACCCACUCGUCUUGAAACACGAACCAAGGAGUCUAACGUACACGCGAGUAUGCCGGUGGAGAAACCGUCAUGCAUAAUGAAAGUGAUUGGUGCCAAGCUUACGCAGCAGCAUCGACCGACCCUAAAUAGAGGUUUGAGUAUGAGCGUGUCCGCUAGGACCCGAAAGAUGGUGAACUAUGCCUGAGUAGGGUGAAGCCAGGGGAAACUCUGGUGGAAGCUCGUAGCGAUACUGACGUGCAAAUCGUUCGUCGAACUUGGGUAUAGGGGCGAAAGACUAAUCGAACCAUCUAGUAGCUGGUUCCCUCCGAAGUUUCCCUCAGGAUAGCUGGGACAAUUACGCAGUUUUAUUAGGUAAAGCGAAUGAUUAGAGGAAUCGGGGGCUUCAUGCUCUCGACCUAUUCUCAAACUUUAAAUUGGUAAGAACCUGUGCCUUUCUUAAGUGAGGCAUGGGGCUCAAUGCGUGUCCUUAGUGGGCCAUUUUUGGUAAGCAGAACUGGCGAUGAGGGUUGCUCCUAACGUUGGGUUAAGGCGCCAAAAUGCGCGCUCAUCAGAAACUACAAAGGGUGUUGGUCCAUCCAGACAGCAGGACGGUGGCCAUGGGAGUUGGAAUCCGCUAAGGAGUGUGUAACAACUCACCUGCCGAAUGGACCAGCCCCGAAAAUGGAUGGCGCUCAAGCGCGCUGCCGAUACCCAACCAUUGGUACGAGAGUGAGGUACCAAUGUGUAGGAGGGCGUGGGCGUUGUUUUGAAGCCUCUGGCGUAAGCCUGGGUUGAACAGCGUCUAGUGCAGAUCUUGGUGGUAGUA